UACGUAGGAGGCAAGCGUUGUCCGGAAUUACUGGGCGUAAAGCGCGUGUAGGUGGUGGGACAAGUCUGCUGUGAAAGCGCCUGGCUUAACCGGGCGAGGUCGGCGGAAACUGUCCGACUAGGGGACGGUAGAGGGGGGUGGAAUUCCCGGUGUAGUGGUGAAAUGCGUAGAGAUCGGGAGGAACACCUGUGGCGAAGGCGGCCCCCUGGGCCGGCCCUGACACUGAGACGCGAAGGCGUGGGGAGCGAACGGG
RNAcentral lists this ribosomal RNA (253 nucleotides) under uncultured bacterium. RNAcentral's name for it is "partial 16S ribosomal RNA". It matches the Rfam family "Bacterial small subunit ribosomal RNA", at positions 524 to 776 of the family's 1533-position model. The record is from RNAcentral.